Tigriopus californicus is the source of this 1177-nucleotide long non-coding RNA. RefSeq lists it as uncharacterized. The record is from RefSeq and is a predicted model, not a curated record. The transcript has 2 exons. NCBI's taxonomy places the organism in Eukaryota, Metazoa, Arthropoda, Copepoda, Harpacticoida, Harpacticidae.
GAAUUUGUUUGGCGCCUUUUCCAUGAUAGCUUGGGUUUGCUUGGUAGUCCAUCCAUGGUUCUCUGGUAAUUCUCAGAAUUUGUGGUCUUGGACAAGCAGAAGAAGUUGCCACAGCUUACUUGAAACACCAAAUCCAGAAUAAGCUUGCGCCGUACUAGAUAGUUCAAUGAUGCUUCUUUCUUUCUUUGAGUAUUAUAACUUGUUUUAUUUGUCACGUCCACAAGCUGAAGGAGAGAAAAAGGAGUGUUUUAUGGUAGGCAAUUCACUCGUCUUGUAAAGGUUGCUUUUAGUUGUCUCAAGUCUCACCUCCCCUAAUUGACUGUCUCACACAAUCGUCUCGCCCAUCUCCUGCACGUGUCUCACUUUUUGUAUCCAGGAAUAAAAACUCAGAUGGGUCAGAUAAAAAGACUUGAGUGAGCUGAUCAUCCAAGAAUCCAGCUCAAGUCACCUCCAUACUACGUCGUUAUGUGUCCUUCUUUAAUUCAGGAUCAUGACAACUAACAACUUGAUAUAAUAAUCUGUAUCAAUUGUAAAGCUCAUAAACUGAUAAAGAGAGACAGGUGUGUUUUACAGUGGGCAUGCAAGUGUCACUUUUCUCUGUCCAAGAAUCGAGACAAAGAAGGAACCACAUGAGAGGAGACAAGACAAGACAAGUAAAAGAGGGAAAGCAUAUAAAUACUUGAAACAUCUCCGACAUGGCAUUAGUUUGAUAGGUUCUAUCAGCAACAUCUACACCACAACAUGAAGAUCUUCAUCAGCCUCAUUGCUCUCUUGGUUGUCGCUUUGGCCGACAAUGCCCCCUAUCGUCCCGCCCCCUCUUAUAUAGAGGAGCCCAUUGCCCACCAACAUCAAUAUCCCGCGGUUGACGAUGUCAAAGACAGCUUUGCUCAAAACGAAGUUCGUAAAAAUUAUGCCACCAACCGUGUGGCCCUUCCUACUGACAAUACCCAUUUUGCAAGCAACAAUGCGGCUAAUGCCCAUUCUGGAUCUGUUUCUUCCAAGCGCACGCCUUCCAAACACGCUCCUUACCCGCGCAGCCCCCUACAGGCGUGCCCCUCACCAACGCACCCCUUACAACCGUGCUCCUCAUUCCAACUAAGAAGGCCUCUUUCAUAUAUUUCUUUUACUUACUUUUCAUGUUAGUUUUUGAGAGAAAUAUAUUUCCAUACCUUCAACA